GUUGUCAGAUGAGUUGCUGUACACCUCAGCUCUAUACACAAAAAUGUGUAACUGUACCCAGUUCAUACAUUAAGAUCCAGAAAGAUCUAACGAAAAGUAUUGUUUGGCAGCCUGACUUGGUCCAGAUUCAAAGGUAAGUUUUAAAAAGCUCUAAGAGGAAAUUGAGGUAUUUGUGAUGCAUAGGAAUUCCAUUGAGAAUAAAAUUUACUAUUAUAAUUCCUUCAUUACUCAAUGUUACUGAAAAUACUUGAACGAAAGCAACUUGAUUUGUCUACCCAAUUUUACGCAUUGAUUUACAUUUGCUUUCAGCAAUUGACAGUAAUGUUUUAUAAAUGAAUCAUUUCUGCAAGUGACGUUGCAAUAAAUGUUAGCUUUCCCCUUAUAAUGACAUUUGUCCUUUUCUUCCUUGCCAUGGGUUUUGAUUUUUUCCCCUAUUAUUGUCUCUUUGAGGGUUUUAUUUUUAAGAGAUUGCAUGCCACCAGAAUCUGAACAACAAUAACAAAAACCUAGUACCUUCUGGAAGUAGAAUUUACUCUUUUGCCGUUGGCAGGCAAAUACGCCAUGCGAGACCUGGUCAACCGGCUCCCCGGCGGCAAUGGCCCCAGUGUCUUGUCUGAUGAGACCAUGGCAGCCAUCUGCUGUGCUCUGCACGAGGUCACCAGCAAAAACAUGGAGAACGCAAAAGCCCUGGCCGACUCAGGAGGCAUAGAGAAGCUGGUGAACAUAACCAAAGGCAGGGGCGACAGAUCAUCUCUGAAAGUGGUGAAGGCAGCAGCCCAGGUCUUGAAUACAUUAUGGCAAUAUCGGGACCUCCGGAGCAUUUAUAAAAAGGAUGGGUGGAAUCAGAACCAUUUUAUUACACCUGUGUCGACAUUGGAGCGAGACCGAUUCAAAUCACAUCCUUCCUUGUCUACCACCAACCAACAGAUGUCACCCAUCAUUCAGUCAGUCGGCAGCACCUCUUCCUCACCAGCACUGUUAGGAAUCAGAGACCCUCGCUCUGAAUACGAUAGGACCCAGCCACCUAUGCAGUAUUACAAUAGCCAAGGGGAUGCCACACAUAAAGGCCUGUACCCUGGUAAGACGCCAGUUGGGUGUGUGAUACAGUCUCUUGAAAAGCCGCAUUUCCAGGCGCUUGGCCAGUGGCCUGGGAAGUAGCCUGUGCUUGUAUUGAGACAGUCCCCCAGCAGCAAACCAUGUUCCAGUCAUUCCCUUUCCUACUUUGGGGAUUGUUGCCUUUUCUGCUUGUUUAAAGUAAAACAAGCAUGUACUUGUUUGUAUGUAUGUAUGUAUGUAGUUGUACGGUGGGCACAAAUAAAAAGAGGGCUGUAUCCAAAUAAAUCAUUUCUGGCUGCUCACUGGCACAGUCCCUUUGCUCCGUCCCCUCCUGGCUCGAGCAGUCUCUGUGUUUUCCACAUGCGUCAGAACCGUCAGCCCGGUGUCACUUUGCAGGGGCCACAUCUUCUAGACUGGCUCAUCUCUUAAAUUCAAACCAGAGAAUGGAGAUCAAUUUCAUUUACAUUUUCAUGGAGAAGAGUUUGAAUAAAUAGCAAAAGGUAUUAUGUG
RNAcentral lists this small RNA (1566 nucleotides) under Pan troglodytes (chimpanzee). Its description in RNAcentral is "retained intron". The record is from RNAcentral. Lineage: Eukaryota; Metazoa; Chordata; Mammalia; Primates; Hominidae.